RNAcentral lists this ribosomal RNA (253 nucleotides) under uncultured Blautia sp. RNAcentral describes it as "partial 16S ribosomal RNA". It matches the Rfam family "Bacterial small subunit ribosomal RNA", at positions 524 to 776 of the family's 1533-position model. Lineage: Bacteria; Bacillati; Bacillota; Clostridia; Lachnospirales; Lachnospiraceae. The record is from RNAcentral.
UACGUAGGGGGCAAGCGUUAUCCGGAUUUACUGGGUGUAAAGGGAGCGUAGACGGCGGUGCAAGCCAGAUGUGAAAGCCCGGGGCUCAACCCCGGGACUGCAUUUGGAACUGUGCUGCUAGAGUGUCGGAGAGGCAGGCGGAAUUCCUAGUGUAGCGGUGAAAUGCUUAGAGAUCAUACAGAACACCGAUUGCGAAGGCAGCUUACCAAGCUACUUCUGACGUUGAGGCACGAAAGCGUGGGGAGCAAACAGG